UACGAAGGGGGCGAGCGUUGUUCGGAUUUACUGGGCGUAAAGGGCGCGCAGGCGGCUCAUUUUGUCAGGCGUGAAAGCCCCGGGCUUAACCUGGGAACUGCGUUUGAUACGGAUGGGCUAGAGUUCGGGAGAGGAGAGUGGAAUUCCCAGUGUAGAGGUGAAAUUCGCAGAUAUUGGGAGGAACACCGAUGGCGCAAGCAGCCAACUGGACGAUAACUGACGCUGAGAUACGAAAGCGUGGGGAGCAAACAGG
RNAcentral lists this ribosomal RNA (253 nucleotides) under uncultured bacterium. RNAcentral's name for it is "partial 16S ribosomal RNA". It matches the Rfam family "Bacterial small subunit ribosomal RNA", at positions 524 to 776 of the family's 1533-position model. The record is from RNAcentral.